This 19-nucleotide unclassified non-coding RNA is filed under the name Chlamydomonas reinhardtii. Its description in RNAcentral is "small RNA Cre_2439". The record is from RNAcentral. Lineage: Eukaryota; Viridiplantae; Chlorophyta; Chlorophyceae; Chlamydomonadales; Chlamydomonadaceae.
UCAACUACGUCAAUAAGGC